This 253-nucleotide ribosomal RNA is filed under the name uncultured bacterium. RNAcentral's name for it is "partial 16S ribosomal RNA". It matches the Rfam family "Bacterial small subunit ribosomal RNA", at positions 524 to 776 of the family's 1533-position model. The record is from RNAcentral.
GACGGAGGGUGCUAGCGUUGUUCGGAAUUACUGGGCGUAAAGGGCGCGUAGGCGGCCUGGUCAGUCGGGUGUGAAAUCUCGGAGCUUAACUCCGAAACUGCAUUCGAUACUGCCGUGCUUGAGGACUGGAGAGGAGACUGGAAUUUACGGUGUAGCGGUGAAAUGCGUAGAUAUCGUAAGGAAGACCAGUGGCGAAGGCGGGUCUCUGGACAGUUCCUGACGCUGAGGCACGAAGGUCAGGGGAGCAAACGGG